UAGGGAAUAUUGGGCAAUGGGUGAGAGCCUGACCCAGCCAUGCCGCGUGCCGGAAGACGGCCCUCUGGGUUGUAAACGGCUUUUAUGAGGGAACAAAAGGGUCCUGCGGGACAGAUUGCGUGUACCUUAUGAAUAAGCACCGGCUAACUCCGUGCCAGCAGCCGCGGUAAUACGGAGGGAGCUAGCGUUGUUCGGAAUUACUGGGCGUAAAGCGCGCGUAGGCGGCUAUUCAAGUCAGGGGUGAAAUCCCGGGGCUCAACCCCGGAACUGCCCUUGAAACUAGGUAGCUAGAAUACUGGAGAGGUGAGUGGAAUUCCGAGUGUAGAGGUGAAAUUCGUAGAUAUUCGGAAGAACACCAGUGGCGAAGGCGACUCACUGGACAGUUAUUGACGCUGAGGUGCGAAAGCGUGGGGAGC
RNAcentral lists this ribosomal RNA (416 nucleotides) under uncultured prokaryote. Its description in RNAcentral is "bacterial SSU rRNA". It matches the Rfam family "Bacterial small subunit ribosomal RNA", at positions 355 to 769 of the family's 1533-position model. The record is from RNAcentral.